RNAcentral lists this ribosomal RNA (1372 nucleotides) under uncultured bacterium. RNAcentral's name for it is "bacterial SSU rRNA". It matches the Rfam family "Bacterial small subunit ribosomal RNA", at positions 28 to 1381 of the family's 1533-position model. The record is from RNAcentral.
GAUAAGCGCUGGCGGCGUGCCUAAUACAUGCAAGUCGAGCGAACGGACGAGAAGCUUGCUUCUCUGAUGUUAGCGGCGGACGGGUGAGUAACACGUGGAUAACCUACCUAUAAGACUGGGAUAACUUCGGGAAACCGGAGCUAAUACCGGAUAAUAUUUUGAACCGCAUGGUUCAAAAGUGAAAGACGGUCUUGCUGUCACUUAUAGAUGGAUCCGCGCUGCAUUAGCUAGUUGGUAAGGUAACGGCUUACCAAGGCAACGAUGCAUAGCCGACCUGAGAGGGUGAUCGGCCACACUGGAACUGAGACACGGUCCAGACUCCUACGGGAGGCAGCAGUAGGGAAUCUUCCGCAAUGGGCGAAAGCCUGACGGAGCAACGCCGCGUGAGUGAUGAAGGUCUUCGGAUCGUAAAACUCUGUUAUUAGGGAAGAACAUAUGUGUAAGUAACUGUGCACAUCUUGACGGUACCUAAUCAGAAAGCCACGGCUAACUACGUGCCAGCAGCCGCGGUAAUACGUAGGUGGCAAGCGUUAUCCGGAAUUAUUGGGCGUAAAGCGCGCGUAGGCGGUUUUUUAAGUCUGAUGUGAAAGCCCACGGCUCAACCGUGGAGGGUCAUUGGAAACUGGAAAACUUGAGUGCAGAAGAGGAAAGUGGAAUUCCAUGUGUAGCGGUGAAAUGCGCAGAGAUAUGGAGGAACACCAGUGGCGAAGGCGACUUUCUGGUCUGUAACUGACGCUGAUGUGCGAAAGCGUGGGGAUCAAACAGGAUUAGAUACCCUGGUAGUCCACGCCGUAAACGAUGAGUGCUAAGUGUUAGGGGGUUUCCGCCCCUUAGUGCUGCAGCUAACGCAUUAAGCACUCCGCCUGGGGAGUACGACCGCAAGGUUGAAACUCAAAGGAGUUGACGGGGACCCGCACAAGCGGUGGAGCAUGUGGUUUAAUUCGAAGCAACGCGAAGAACCUUACCAAAUCUUGACAUCCUUUGACAACUCUAGAGAUAGAGCCUUCCCCUUCGGGGGACAAAGUGACAGGUGGUGCAUGGUUGUCGUCAGCUCGUGUCGUGAGAUGUUGGGUUAAGUCCCGCAACGAGCGCAACCCUUAAGCUUAGUUGCCAUCAUUAAGUUGGGCACUCUAAGUUGACUGCCGGUGACAAACCGGAGGAAGGUGGGGAUGACGGCAAAUCAUCAUGCCCCUUAUGAUUUGGGCUACACACGUGCUACAAUGGACAAUACAAAGGGCAGCGAAACCGCGAGGUCAAGCAAAUCCCAUAAAGUUGUUCUCAGUUCGGAUUGUAGUCUGCAACUCGACUACAUGAAGCUGGAAUCGCUAGUAAUCGUAGAUCAGCAUGCUACGGUGAAUACGUUCCCGGGUCU